AAGCAAGCCAAACCAAAUUAGAGUUUAAAUGCAAAAAAUGGCAAAGUCAAACAACAAUGUUGCAAUGUUUCUGAAUUUUUUUCUGAUGAUCUCUUUCCUUCUCAUCAUAAACAUGGCUGAAAGCAAGCUUUUUCCCUUUGCAGCUGGAUUCAUUGAGCAUGGAAAAGCCAAAGAGUUGACACCAACAUGUCUGUCGAUAUAUGGACAACAAGAAGGAGAUACAUGCUUUAGCAUCACUCAAGCAUUCAAUUUGACUUUCGAUUUCUUCCUUCAGAUUAAUCCUAAUCUUAAUUGCGACUCAAUAUUUGUGGGAGAAUGGCUCUGCGUUGAUGGUUUCCUUAGCUAAUUUAAUUUAGAAGGAAAUUAAAUUUGAAUUACAAGGUUGAAUAAAUUGUUGGUCAUCACCUUAUUCUAGCUUUAUUUUCUUGAAACAAGACAUGCUUCAUGUUGAUGUUAAACGUUAUACUAGUAUUAAAUGCCUAGUAUCUUUGUGUAAUAGGUUAAUAUAAGAUGUAUCCCACUUAUUAUCUACGAAAAUGAAUAUUUAUAUUUUGAAAAAUAAAAUAAAAUUUAUUUUACAAAA
Molecule: long non-coding RNA, 583 nt
Organism: Gossypium arboreum
Lineage: Eukaryota; Viridiplantae; Streptophyta; Magnoliopsida; Malvales; Malvaceae
Exons: 2
Source: RefSeq, a predicted model, not a curated record